This 8947-nucleotide long non-coding RNA is filed under the name Homo sapiens (human). RNAcentral's name for it is "HSALNT0016371". Lineage: Eukaryota; Metazoa; Chordata; Mammalia; Primates; Hominidae. The record is from RNAcentral.
ACCGGCGUUGGCUUUUAAGUAGCUCGUUCAGGCGCUUCUCAUCCUUCUUUCUUUUGCGUCCGCUCAUCUUCAUAUCUUGUGACACAUAAACUACAUGUGAUUAAAGUGGUGACACUAAAAACAGGAACUGGUAGUAGGCUGACAUUUACGCAUGCAUAGUCCGUCAUCUGCUGCCAUGUGACAAGCAGUUCUGCAGGUGCACUUUAUGGCCCAUUCUCUACCAUGGUUGUUGCUCCUCCUUGGUCUUUUCAUAGGGUCAGGAACACUGGGAGAAGAUACAGUGGGGAAGAUAUCCUUGGGGAGUUGGCCACUUGGCCCCUGGAGGUCCCAGCAGAGCAAGAGGUAGAAAGUGUUACAUGGAGCUCUUGAGAGCGUGUUGCUGUUUUACAACAAGGAUGAACAGACAAACCAGUUCUGGUUUCUGAGACUCAGGGACCCUACAGUGGAUGACUGAACAUUCCCCACCACAGCUACUCUCUUCAGAUCAGCCCCCUGAGGCUGCAGGACUAUAAGCCUAUAAGCCUGGGUAACUCUGCAUACUUCCUCAAUCAUUAUCACCAGGGAUUUCACCCUGCUUGUCUAUGAGAUGCUGUAGGAGUUGAACAUCUUUGCCAGCUCCCAGAUCAUGAAGGAUGGGACCUGCUUCAUCACCCUGGCCUGCUCCCUGGAACAGGCUGGAGAGAAUGUGCAGAACAGCUGGGAGCCUCCUAGUCAUGGGGCAGUUGUGUCCCAUGGGGGGACCACUCUCAGUGUCCCCUGGAUAUCUGGGGAAAGUGAGAGCUAUCACUGCACUGCCAGGAAUCCCACCAGCCAGAGCUCCAGCUCUGUCCUUACCAGACCCCUUUGCUCAGCCUCCUUUGUACCCCACUCCCUGAGGAAAGAAUUUCUUCCUUUUUUGAUUCUGGGAGUUUUGGGGAUUGAAUAGAUUUCACCUGGACAUGGGGAGAAACCAAGAAGAGAAGUACGAGAUGGCGGCCAUCCUGUGAGACACAGAGUUAAAGAAGUUCGCAUGUGGAGUGCUGCCUGAGGCCAGCAUUUCCUGGUGUGAGAGAAGGACAUUGACACUGAUUAAGGCAUAAACCCUAUUUCAUUUACAAACUGAGUUCAAAAUUAUCAGGAAACUGCUAUGUGUCUUCUGUUUAAAAUAAUCUGUUUAUGUUUUAUUGAAGUGUGUUUUUAAGUGUUCAGAAAGAAAAAGGAGCUUAUUUAUUUAAGAAAAAUUGAAUGGAACAUAAAAACAUUGUUAUUGUCACACAUAUAUAUUAUUAAGUUUUUGUUAAUGUUUAAAUAACUAGAUUCAGCCCAGCUUCAGCUUGAAUGUCAUCUCCUUGGAGCAGCCUUUGGCCACUAUACUUAAGUAGAUCUUUCCUCUCAUUCAUAAUCAAUGUAUGUUUAAAAAAAUAAUCUGGAGUCUGUUAGGCUGAGACGGCCCUAGCAAUCUGGGAUUCUACACAAGCAAACAGAAAACCAACUCAGAAUGACUUAACCAGUCGGAAACCACCAGGUAAUCUCUAAAUGGGGAAUUCCAUUUAAGCCAUCAAAUAUUUUCUUUUCUUCUUUUUAUUUUGCAUAGAGACAGGAUCUAACUCUGUUGCUCAGGCUGGUCUCAAACUCCUGGCCUCAAGUGAUCUUCUCACCUUGGCCUCCCAAAGUGCGGAGAUUACAGGCAUAGACCACCAUGCCUGGCACACUUAUUUGUUGGUUUACUUAUUUAUUGUUUAUUUCCCUCACAAGAUAUUCAGCUCUAUGAGGAUAAGAACUAUUUCUAUAUAUAUUUUUUCAAAACUAAAAACCCAAAGGGUAAUAGUGUUUGGCUUAUGAUAGAUACUUCAACAUUUACUGAAUGAAUGAAAGAAUGAAUUGGAGUUGAGAAUAUUUUUUCUUAAGAUUUGAAGACUAUUAGGAGGUUUUACAAGGAUCUGGGGCCUACACCAUUGUCUGUUUUCUCUUUCUGCUUUUGAUGGAGAGAAGCAGCAAAUUAAAUCUUUAUCCUAAAAGUUUCCUAGAAUGCUCAACAGUUAGCAAAAGAAAAAGUUAAAAUAAAAGAAACAUUUAUGUUUUGUUUUGACAGAAAGCUGCUCUGCAGUGCUAGAUACGUUAAUCUAGAAUUUGAACCAUAUACAAAUAACUGAACCAAAAGCAAAAUUUAGGUGGGAAACUUUGAGCUUCUCUUUCUUUUUCUUACUCUCAGUUGAUCAGCUCAUUUCCUAGUUCAUUCACAGAGAGGAUUGGCAAAUAUCACCCAUUACACACAAAGCUUCCAAUCAAGUAGUUAAUGACUUAUUUGGAAAUAUAAGAGGGCAGACAGGAUCACAAGAUAUUUGGGGAAGGCCUCUAACAUGAAAGACAAUCUCCAAACCAAAUGAAUCAGGGGGAAAAAAGAAACUUGGAAGAAAAGAGAUAAUACAGGGAGCAGGAGAAAAUUAAAUAAAAUCCCUCAAACAAUAUUCUUAGAGACAUAUAAAAAGAUUUUCACUUAAAAACAGAAACAGGGUGCCAGCCUAAGAAAAACUGAAAAGUCCAAGAGUAAGAAAGAGCCCUAGUAACAAUAAAUACAUAAAUAAAAAGCAGAAAACUUCUAAAAUUCAAUGGAAGUGUUGGAAAAUCAAAUGAAGAAACUCUCUCAGAAAGUAGAACUAAAGACAAACAGAUGAAAAUAAAAGAGAAAAGAUAAGGCCAUUAAAGAAUCAGCCCAGGAACUCCAACCCCUGGAUAACACAGUUCCAGAAAGGGACAUGUCUUAGUCUAUUUUGUGCUGCCAUGGCAGAAUCCCACAGAUCGGAUAAUUUAUAAACAGUAGAAUUUUAUUUGUCUCAUGAUUCUGGAGACUGGGAAGUCCAAGAUCAAGGGGCUGCAUCUGGUGAGGACCUUUUUGCUGCAUCAUAACAUGGUGGAAGGCAUAACAUGAUCAGAAAGUGAGUGUGUGUGUGUGUGUGUGUGUGUGUGUUUGUGUGUGUGAGAGAGAGAGAGGGGAGGGGGCUGGACCCAUCCUUCGAUUAGGAACUCACUCCCCCAAUAACUAACCCACUCCCAAGAUAAUGGCAUUAACCAAUUCAUGAGGGCUCUUAAAAUUCCCACCUCUCAACUCUGUUGUACUGGGGAUUAAUAGAGGCAGCAGGACCAGAGCACCCAGUGAAAGACAUUAUCAACUAUAGGAAAAACAAAGAAUGGUUAGGAAGGAAAUUGAAUACUCUACAUGGCUCGAAUGUGAAUACUUAUUGUCAUAAAUGUUAAAUACAGUUUAGCAAAAAGCUAUGUUACAACAUACUCUGGCGGGAUGGGCAGAAAGGCCUUUGUGUUGCUGAGUGGCUAAAGAGUGUGGAGGACAGUGGAUGAGAGAGCCAAAUACCUAUCUCCAUAGCAGGAAGUCAAUAACUAAUGUCUAAAAUCAAGAAAGGACAGAACAAAUAUAUCAUUUCUAAAUAUCAAGGAAGUAUCAUGAGAAAAAACAAAUAAUUGACAGUGGUUGCCAGCACAACAGUUGCCAGAACAGCAGUUCUGGGUGUAGUGUGGCAGAAGACUGCUGCUUUUUUUUUUUUCAAAAUUUAUUAUGUCUUAUGCUAUUAGUUGAAUUUUAUAACUAUAUAUAUGUAGUAUUUUGAAAAAAAUUAAAAUAUUAGAAAGCACAUGCACCAAGAGAUGAAGAACAAUAACCAAAAAGAGAACUCAAAGGUCUAGGAACUUGACUGGGUGGAAAUGGGAGGAUUUUAAUGGGCCACGGGGUUCUACAGGAAGAGUGAAUGGUUUAAACAAAGAGGCAGAGACUAAUCAGUCAAAUUUUAGUUGAAACAAAAUUAGAGUUGAAUAUCUUUUCUCCAAAUCUAGGUCCAAUUAUACAUUCAACAAAAUUCAACAUUACUGACUAGUUAAUAUUUAUGCUUAUUUACAGAUAUAACAAAAUUUCAUAGCUAGGGAAGCAGUUCUGGGGCUGUCAGUGAUCUUGCUUGUUAUUCCAGACAACUGUCAUUCAGGGACUCCAGGUAGCAUGAUCCUGAGAGCAAAUGCACCAUUGUUAAAGGCAUAGACGUAUAAAUACAAACCUCUGCCACAGAGCACUAUUCACUCUUUGCGUCUGAAGAGAACCAGAACCCCUUAACUCUUGGGCGGCAGCCUGCCGUCUGAAUGUGAAGGAGAAGGAAGAAUUAGUACAAUGCCUGUUUUUGAGCUCUUCAAGUCACCAGCAUUUUGUAGGAGUGGAAUGCUUCAUCUCCUGGCCCCUAACUUCGGGGUAGCAAAAUGAGAAGCUAAUGCCUGCUGGAAAGGGUCCCAAGAUAGAGAAGCUAAUGCCUGCUGGAAAAGGUCCCAAGAUACUGAAAGCUCUGAGAUUGCACUAGAAGAGAAGAGCUCAAAUCCUGCCACUUACCCACAAAAAGCCAGGGAAGUGAGUGUCUACUGGAAAUUGUUUUAGGUGUGAAGUAUGAACUGUAUGUAUCUGAAGGCUUCCUGCCUUGGUGCUGCCAGAUGCCCUUGCUGUGUGACAGGAGGAGGUGAGAACAGGUUGAAAGAGGAGGAAACGACUAAUGACCCUUAGGAGCAGAUCGAUUACCACCCUAUGAAAGAGUAAGUUGACAGUUCAGACUAUGCAAAAACAAAUUGUUGGAAAAGCCCCCUUCAUUUUUCUUAGCCGAAAAGUAAACAGAUUGCUACAAUCUGGCAUCUCUGUAGUUUUACCCACUCUCUCCACACCCCAAAGUACAGCCAUUAAAGCCCCACGGUCACUACACAUGUCUCUGUGUUAUGACCUUGCUUUUCUUUCUCCUCGAGGGGACUCAUUGACCUUUCUCCAUCUGGCUCAAUCUGUGUCAAGUUGCUUCUUGACCCAUUUGUUUUUCCAUCGGUUGUGAGCUCUUUGAAGUUAGGGGUCAUGCUUUAUCCAUCCCUGCUUCUUGGCCAUAGCACAUAGUUGGUGCUCACUAAAUACUUGCUGAAACACUUGUCAACUAAAGAAAAGCCAAGUUUUUAAAGAAUUAAAGUGAGUUUUAUUUAGUCUUACUGAGGUUGGCAACCCAGGAGAGUCUUUCGGAGAGUUUCUGUUAGACUGCUCCAAAGCAGUGUUUCAGCCUACAGCUUAUACAUAAGGUGACAGUCAUUCUGCCUGUGCUCAAAAGUUAUGUAAGAGCAAAAUUUCACCAAAGUUUGGGUGCAAGGGUACAUCUAGUUAUAGAUUACAGAGGCAUAAUGAUUAAUCCUGUCAACCAUUAUCUUAUGUACAGCAAAAAGACAAAGGCCAGGAUCAUUGAAUUUAUCUUUUCUAAAAAUGCAGUGAUUUAGGUAAGAGAUGUGGUAACCUGGGCUCCAUCCUUCUUAUCAUCUUCAGGGCAUCCUUCCGAAGGGCUGUCCUCAGUCACUGAGUCAGGGGCUUUGUGAAAUUCUGCUGGCAGCUGAAUGAGCAAACAUGGCCUCUUAUGUUUGCUACUUUGUCUUACAGAGUAAGUGAAUGUAAAACAAAAACAAAAACAGAAUGAAUGAAUGAAAGUCUCUGUGAGAGAAGCAACCUAUCCAUUGCUGUUUGCCUUUCCCACAGUUCUGGGUUUGGCUAGGGAGAGUUCACAUCCCUGCUGAUGUUUAUUUUAAAUUUCGAAGCAAUAAGGAAAUUGAAAAAUGGACACAAAAUUCAGGGGUAUCUAUUUCCUUUCUAUUCAUACAGCCUUAUAUUUUGCCUUCUAAGCUAUUCUUUUCCUUGUAUUCUUUUUAGACUCUCAUUCAGAUUAUGUUACCUCAAUAUUCUUCCCUUAGAAGACUUUAAGAAGCAGAUUCCAUUCAACAGUUUUACUCUACAGAAAUACUGUGUGUAAGGCCGGGUGCGGUGGCUCAUGCCUGUAAUCCCAGCACUUUGGGAGGCUGAGGCAGGUGGAUCCCCUGAGGUCAGAAGUUUGAGACCAGCUGGCCAACAUGGUGAAAUCCCAUUUCUACUAAAAAUACAAAAUUUAGCUGGGUGUAGUGGUGCACACCUGUAAUCCCAGCUCCUCAGCUACUCAGGAGGCUAAGGGAGGAGAAUUGCUUGAACCUAGGAGAUGAAGGUUGCAGUGAGCCAAGAUUGCACCACUGCACUCCUGCCUGGGCAACAGAGUGAGACUCCAUCUCAAAAAAAAAAAAAAAAGAAGAAGAAGAAGAAGAGGAAAUACUGUGUGUUUUCCUCAGUGUUCAUGAAGCUUAAUGUGCAGGUAUUUUCAUAAGGUUCUAUAUUUUAUUGAAAAACAGACAACAAAACAAGAAACAGACUAGUAAAAUUGCUGAAUAUGUGCAUGGUUUGCCAGCUGGGCCAAGAGGAGGCAGCAGUGAGCUAACCCAGGGCUUGCUGUGUGGCUUGGAGGAUCCUGUCACCAUCAGCCUGCAUUGUGACCUUGCUUUCAUUUUCUCUCUCUGAGAUGAGGGAGUUAGACUACAUGAUCCUUAGAGUCUCUUCCAGCUCCAAAAUUCUCUGUGUAAGUUUUAAAUAGAUGUUUGGGACUGAUUUAGGUCUGGGAAGAGAAAAGUGAAGGAAACAGACAAAAAUUCCCUCCGUUUAUGAAGCUUACAUUCCCAUGGGGCCUUCCAGACCCUACGGUUGUCAUAGUGGCGAGGAGGCUGCCUGGAUUGGAGGGUAUGAGGCUGGGUAGGAAGUCAGACCAGGGCUUGACCAGUAGGCAUCAGACAGAUCCAGGGACCAGGCAAAGCAGGAAAUGAAUGAAAUUCACUGGGUCCAAGUGAGAUGGGAGCAGGGAACAGGCUCUCCACAGAGCCAAGCAAUCAGAGGGAUUGUGCUAGGUCCCUAACUGACCAGGAGGAGACAGGCAGAGUUGUACCCACAGGACAGUUGGGCCUGCAGAACCUCCAGAACCAGAAAGUCCGUUUAGCAGCCUGACUCAGCAAGGCUUGCUUCUGCUCCUGGGGAGAUGCACAGGUCCCAGCAUGCAAGUGACUGGGAGGGAACAUGGAGAACACAGCAAAGAGGAGGAGCUAGAAAGAGCACCGGAGGAGUGAGGGGAGGAACAGCUCAGAGCCUUAUAGCUGACAAGCCUUCUGUAAGGGUGGCGUGAAUGAGUGAAUGACACAGAGGGGAGUGUUUGCUACUUUGCUUGAUCUGUGAGCACUGGUCAGCUGCCUCUUAUUAUAUGCCUCAACUUUAUAAUGAUAUGAUUAACUGCUAUUCUCAGGUCUUCAGUUACUCUUUAUACUUAAAGUUCUAGAGGCUCAGUUCUGAAUGGAAUCUAUAUAAUUAGCCAGUAGUCUCUUUAUGAUGAGGUAACUUCUGUCGAAGGACUGUGAUGUUAUACUCUGCUGAACACUUUACGUGUAUGAUUAUCUUUACCUUUAAUCUCACUACAAUCCUAUGAGGUAGAAAGUAUCUUUCACAUUUUAUAGAAGAGAAAACUGAGGUUCCAAGAAACUAAGCAUUUUGCUCAUGGUCAUAGGACUAAGAGAAGAUACAUGACGUCCAGAGUUGCUUUUCUCUUUCUCUCUCUCUUUCUCUAUCUCUUUCUCUCUCUCUCUCUCUCUCUCUCUCUCUCUCUCCCCCCUCCCCUCUCUGUAUCUCUUCCUCUCUCCUCUCCAAGUUUUCAGUGUGGUGAAAGUAAUGCAGAUUAGUGACUAACCACUGUGGGUAGCAUGGGUUUUUUCUUCUUUUUCCCCUUUUUAAUUACACAUCCUUUCCUUUCGUUUUCCUGGUGCUCUAAGCCAGCUCACCCCUGGUUUUUUAUUCUGCCUUGUUUGGGAUGGAGGUGGUAUGCAUGGAAGAGCAAAAGCAAAAACUUUAGGUAGCCUCAGCCCUAAAGUAGAGCCAGGAUCCACACCAAUGUCUCCUCUUAACUGCCUCAACCACUUGCCUUGCUGUCUGCCCAUCUUUGAAGUGGAGAUCUUAGUGGUUAGCCUCUGGGCCUCACCUUCAUCUCUCCCUGUCCUCAUCUUGUUUGCUUUCUUCCCAGACUAACUCAGCUCCAGGAUUGUCCCUUCUGGAAGCUAUCCCAUGCGGCUGUCCCUGCCUUAUACAGGAUCUACCUUGGCAGAGGGAAAACAACUCUUGGUCCUUGUCAUGGUAAAUUUUAUGUGUCAACUUGACUGGGCUAAGGGAUGCUCAGAUACCAGAUAAAAUAUUGUUGCUGGGUGUUUUCAGAGGUCAUCAGCAUUGGAAUCAGUAGAUGAAGUAAAGAAGAUUGCCCUCACCAAUGAGGGCAGGCAUCACACAUCUAUCGAGGACCUGAAUAGAACAAAAACGCAGAGAGGAGGGAUAAGGAAGGACUUGUUAAAGAUUACAAAAUUAUAGCUAGAUAGGAGGAAUAAGAGGAAUAAGUUAUAGUGUUCUAUACCACUCUAGGAUGACUACAGUUAACAAUAAUGUACAGUUUUAGAUAACUAGAAGGAGGACAUUGAAUGUUCCCAACACAAAGAAAUGAUAAAUGUUUGAGAUGACAAGUAUGUUAAUUACCCUUAUGUUAUCACUACAAAUUAUAUGGCUCUAAACAUCACUAUGUACUCCAAGAAUAUGUACAAUUAUCAUUUGUCAAUUAAAAAUAUAUACAUACCAUGGAAUACUAUGCAGCUAUAAAAAAGAAUGGGAUCAUGUUUUCUGCGGGAACAUGGAUGGUGCUGGAGGCCAUUAUCCUUAGCAAACUAACACAGGAACAGAAAACCAAAUACUGCAUGUUCUCACUUAUAAGUGGAAGCUAAGUGAUAACUCAUGGACACAAAGAAGGGAACAACAGACACUGGGGCCUACUUGAGGGUGGAGGGUGGGAAGAGGGAGAGGAGCAGAAAAAAUAAUGAUUGAAUAGUAGGCUUAGUAUCCGGGAGAUGAAAUAAUCUACCUGACAAAUCCCCAUGACACGAGUUUACCUACAUAACACAUCUGCGUAUAUACCCCUGAACCUAAAAUAAAAAUUAAAAAAUAAAAUAAAAACAGAAAGGUGAAGGAUGGAAGGAAAUUAGUUUCUUUGCUUGAGUUGAGACAUCCAUCUUCUCCUCCCCUCAG